RNAcentral lists this ribosomal RNA (416 nucleotides) under uncultured cyanobacterium. Its description in RNAcentral is "bacterial SSU rRNA". It matches the Rfam family "Bacterial small subunit ribosomal RNA", at positions 505 to 918 of the family's 1533-position model. Lineage: Bacteria; Bacillati; Cyanobacteriota. The record is from RNAcentral.
GUGCCCGCCGCCGCGGUAAGACGGAGGAUGCAAGCGUCAUCCGGAAUGAUUGGGCGUAAAGCGUCCGCAGGUGGCAAUUCAAGUCUGCUGUUAAAGCGCAGGGCUUAACUCUGUAAAGGCAGUGGAAAAUGAAUAGCUAGAGUGUGGUAGGGGCAGAGGGAAUUCCCAGUGUAGCGGUGAAAUGCGUAGAGAUUGGGAAGAACAUCGGUGGCGAAGGCGCUCUGCUGGACCAUAACUGACACUCACAGGACGAAAGCUAGGGGAGCGAAUGGGAUUAGAUACCCCAGUAGUCCUAGCCGUAAACGAUGGAUACUAGGUGUUGUCUGUAUCGACCCGGACAGUGCCGUAGCUAACGCGUUAAGUAUCCCGCCUGGGGAGUACGCACGCAAGUGUGAAACUCAAAGGAAUUGACGGGG